Molecule: long non-coding RNA, 285 nt
Filed under: Xyrichtys novacula (pearly razorfish)
Lineage: Eukaryota; Metazoa; Chordata; Actinopteri; Labriformes; Labridae
Source: RNAcentral
CACAGAUGAAAGUUAAAACAAAGAGGUUUAUCAAACUGUUAAAGCACACAAACCAUCGUCAUAUGAGAAAUCCGACGCUAUGACUCUCCACAAGUUGUCCUUCAGGUCUUUAUCUUUGUAAUAUUUGUGUCUUUUAUCAAAAAUCACUCUGUUCUCCGACACGUAAACAAUCAGCUGGUCGGCCAUGUUGGAUAUACCGGUGAAUCUGACGUCGCAACAACACGCAAUCUGAUUGGUCAGAAGUGGACACACAGUAUGCGAAACUUUAGAAAAAUCAACUAUUAU